RNAcentral lists this ribosomal RNA (258 nucleotides) under uncultured bacterium. RNAcentral describes it as "partial 16S ribosomal RNA". It matches the Rfam family "Bacterial small subunit ribosomal RNA", at positions 337 to 611 of the family's 1533-position model. The record is from RNAcentral.
GCCUACGGGGGGCAGCAGUGGGGAAUAUUGCACAAUGGGGGAAACCCUGAUGCAGCAACGCCGCGUGAGUGAAGAAGUAUUUCGGUAUGUAAAGCUCUAUCAGCAGGGAAGAACAAUGACGGUACCUGACUAAGAAGCACCGGCUAAAUACGUGCCAGCAGCCGCGGUAAUACGUAUGGUGCAAGCGUUAUCCGGAUUUACUGGGUGUAAAGGGAGCGCAGGCGGCGCGUUAAGCCUGGUGUGAAAGCCCGCGGCCCA